UGAGAAUAAGCGACAUAUGCUGCGUUCUCGAUUCUGAUAAGCGGCAGUCGCCUUCAGUUUUGGAGGUAUGCUUUGGGGCUUAUUUUGCAUUUUCUUGGCGAUUUUUAUUUUUUAGCCUUUUUGCGAUAUUACACAGAACAAUGUCAGUGUUUCGUGGAUUCGGAAAACUGUUUUCGACCCAGUCCAUGUUCAAUAGAAACAAAAGCAAUGCACAAUGAUGAAGAAACUCAAGGCUCCACAAUCCCCUACACUUAGGAAAAAAACAUAUAUUUAAAUGUUUAGAAGGUGCGAAAUAUCUUUCAGAUUUAAUGAAGAUUUCAGAAAUAUUUUUGCAAUGGGAGCAUCUUUUUUAAUAUCUUCAGAAUCACUGAAUUUUUCUGAGAUGAAAGGCCUGAUGAUGCUCUUAAUAUGAGCGAAACACGUGUAACCUACUGUUAAUAAAUACUUUUGAGACCGAGACUUUGUGUAGUUCCGUUUAGAAUAUGAACAGUAAUGUUGCUGGUCCUCUCAGCACGUUCAUUUAUCUCAAGAAUAAAAAGCCCCAGAAGCAAAUGCCAUAUCGUAGAUGAGACUCGACUAGGGCAUAAUUAACAUCCUGGCACCCAAUUCACAAGCUACCACCCUCACAGCAUAGCAACCAUGAGCCACCCUCUUUCCUAUCUUAGUGAUGUGCGUCGAGAACUUUAAUUUUGAAUCAAUCCAGAUACCCAAGAAAUUGUGAACUUCCUGAACCUCGAGAGGUUCAGAAUUUAAACUGGAGACCGGCAACUGACACUUAAAGAAUUUGAUGAAUGGCUUCAAAAAGGAAAACUGGAAUAGAGUAAAGUACUCUAAAGGAAUGGAAGCUAAAAGGAAUCGGAACAACUCACAAGUAUUUUAUUUAGUUGUAGUAGAACAGAUGACCGAUCAGCCCAAAAACCUAUAGGCAUCUAUAUGCCUUCUUUUGAGAAGAAAAGAGUAUUAACACCAAUUGAAGCAAACAUUGUAUGACUAACUUUGAAAAAAAACGAAAACCAGGGUUCUCAGAAAGGCCUUUGAGAAAGAAAAAACAUUUAAUAUUCUGAGGCCUGGAAAAGGAAAGGUUAAAUGUACCACAAAAGCGCCUAAGCCAUCUACCAGCAAUUUAGAUAGUUGAUUUUACAAGACUCUCCUAGGACGUAUUGCCUAUAGGAUCAUAUAAGAUAGUUAUUUAUGAUAUUUAAUUUUUAUAUAUUUUUUAAAAUUUUUCAAUAAAUUAAUAUUUUAGAAUGAA
Molecule: long non-coding RNA, 1252 nt
Filed under: Anthonomus grandis grandis
Lineage: Eukaryota; Metazoa; Arthropoda; Insecta; Coleoptera; Curculionidae
Description: uncharacterized LOC126740757
Source: RNAcentral